Molecule: small nuclear RNA, 136 nt
Filed under: Gigantopelta aegis
Lineage: Eukaryota; Metazoa; Mollusca; Gastropoda; Neomphalida; Peltospiridae
Description: U4 spliceosomal RNA
Rfam family: U4 spliceosomal RNA
About the family: U4 small nuclear RNA (U4 snRNA) is a component of the major U2-dependent spliceosome. The structure of U4 snRNA from yeast and human has been reported. U4 snRNA presents a k-turn RNA motif in the 5p-SL related to recognition of Snu13 protein.
Source: RNAcentral
AGCUUUGACGCAGUGGCGUACCAUAGCCAAUGAGGUUCAACCGAGGCGGUUAUUGCUAAGUUGAAAAUUACCCCAAUACCCCGAUUGACGACGUGAAAUACCGUCGGCUUUGAAAUUUUGGAGGCCUCUCCGGAGG